GUCCUGAUAGGAUUGUCCUGUCCCGUCCAUGGAGAAGCUCCCAUUCAUUAACUGUCCGCCUGUAACGUCCCCCACGUUGCCAUACAUCCUAUUGGUGUGGCCAAGUUCUGAGAGAAUCUGAUCCUCUGUGGACAAAAGAACGGAGAUUUAUUGUCAGCUACCAGGACUCCGAUGGUCCCUGCUCUUCACAACCUAGGAAUACACGUGACCAGGAAGAUGCCCAAGGACGGCAGCAGCCUUGCAGCCAAGCACGGAUCAGACACACCGAUGUGGCAGCCUGACAUCCGGAGGUCAGCCCAGGUGGUGACUUCAACAGCCCAGAUGAGAUUGAGUGGCUUUUCACAUCCGGCCUAGAAGGAAAAAGGGCCUGUGGAGCGUGUCCUCCCACCACCCGGACUGGAGGAACGGCUGGCUCUAGGGGACCUUGGGAGUAGGCCAGUGUCCCAGCAAAGGGUAAGAAGAGGCAGGAGAGGGGCUAGGGGCACAAGGCUGGGACCGGGUCAUCUGUUCACAGCUGUGUGGGCUGCUUAGGGGGAGGUCAUGGGGCCACAGAACAGGGCCUGGCCCAGUCCCAGCUUCCAGUCCAGACCUGAGCAAUCUUGUUUUCUACUCCUGUCACGUGGUAAAGGGCCACUACCAUUCCCCCGCCCUUCACUGCAAUCCUUGAGGAAAAGCCUGUGUUCAGGAGGGAGUUGCCAAGGCCUUAAGAAAGAUCCCUCCUGAAUGCCAGGGAUGAUGGAUUCCCAGGGGACUUUCCUAAGGCCUCAGCCUGGCCCCUCCAGCCCUGCUCACCUCGGAAGCUCAGCUCACUGUCACUAACCCCACAGUCCUCUGCAGAGCUCUCCUUCUCCUGCUUGCUGCCGCCCCGGCUCCUCUUGACGCUCUUAUAGAACUGCCCCCAGCGGUGCCGCCCCGCGUCCUUCUUCAGGCGUUUCUCUUUGGCCCUUCUGUUCUGAAACCAAACCUGCCACACAAGCAUAAGGGACAUGCUCAGCGGGGGUCCACCAUGAAUCCAAAGCCCCCAGGACCCCCAAGGUGGGCGGCUGGAAGCCGACUGAAGCCGGAAGGGAGCACCGGUCUGGUAGCACAGUGUGUCCCUGCCCCUUCUCCCUGGCCUCAGAACUCUGCCUUCAGUUCUGGCAAAAGCCCUGGGUUUGUGGCCCUGAGCCCAACCACCAGUGAGGUGAUGUCACUCAUGCUUCCUGCUCAGGACACCUUCCACCCCUGUCCCAGGCCUGGGAUCCCCCAAGGGCACUGGAGUGCUGGCAUCUCACCUGUACGACCCUCAUGUCCAGGCCUGUCUCUGAGGACAGCUGCUCCCUCACGUGCCGGGCAGGCUUGGGGGAGUUUUUGUAUGCAUUCUUUAAUGUCUCCAGCUGCUUGGCGGUGAUGGUGGUCCGCGGCCGCUUAGCUCCAGCCUCUGAGUCAUCUGCAUGGAAAAACCACUGCUUACUAGGUUUGGCCUAGCUGCAGCAGCUACGCCUCCUUCCCCACCCUCCUUCCUUCCUUUCUGCACCUACGCCUGCCUGCUGUAGGCAGGGCAGUGGGAGGCACAGGGGAGAGUGAAGAGGUUCCCCACUCCCGCGGCACCGACUGCUGCACCACAGGCCUUCCCAAGCCACUGAAAAGGGAAGACCACAGUCCUUUCUCUGCUCAGCUCCCUGCCUCUCCCCUCCCAUGCCAGCCUAGUUGCACAGAAGUCCCAUUAGAUUGAAUGAAUGUACCCAGUUCCACACAUGUCCCUGUCAUGACAAACACUCUGCUCACACGUCCUUGUGAGAUACUGCCAGAGCUGUGAAGGUGAACAGCCAGGGUGAAAUCCGCGUUCAAAGCCACCCCGGAAGCCCUCCCCUCUCUCUCAACAGGAGUCUCCCAUUUCCCCACAGCCGCGUUGCCUUUGCCCUGGUGUCGCUGGGCUCACAGCCAGGGGUGAGUUCACACACCUAGUAGUGUCUAAGCAGGUUUCUAAACUAUGGGUGAGAACCCACUCGUGGGCUGUAAAGUCAACUUAGUGGAUCAGAACUGAAAGAGGAAAUCAGAUAAAGAGAAUGGAACAAAAUAAUAGAAUAGCAGGAUUGCUUCAUGAACUUGUUUACUUUUUAGUGUAUGAAUGUGUAUACCAAGAUGAAAUGUAAAGUGAGUGUUUUUACUGUGAAUUGUCAAAAUUUUUUGAAAAACACUGAUCUAAGGUACGUGCGGGACAACACAUUGACUGAUGAACACAAAGUCCUCUACAGAUUUGGAGCGAAAAGCUCAAGUUCCUGUUAAAGUCUCGUUGGUUCCAUUUAGCGUCAGGCAGAGGCGCGGGUGCGUCCGGUGGCACAGGUAAGUGGGAAGGUGUGUUUCUUCUCCCAGCACCCAGCUCUCUCCCCUUCUCUGCACAGUGCCCCUGGAGCACACAAAGAAUAAAGUCGGCAGCUGGCCUGGGCCGCUCUCUGCUUGCUCACCUGUGCGCCCCUUAGUGUCUCUGUGACAUUCCUGACUUCCUCUCUGUCUCUGCUCUGUUCUUUCCAUUCAAGAAAUCCCUCUCUGAGGAUCAAUAAUAACCGACAUGUUAGCACAUAUCAUGUACUGGUGUUGACUGAGGACUUUCUAUGCAUUUGGCCCUCGCCAUCGACAGGGCUCUCCCUGGCGUCAGCAGACCUGGCUUCAAUGUUCUUGUUGAGUGAGUAACUUGGGCCAGUAUCUCACCUCCCCUUGGAAGCCCAGGGUACAACACGGCCUGCCCUGGUCUUGGCAGGCCCGAGAGGAGUGAAGCAGCUGUGUGCCCAGGACAUGCAUGCACACAGUGAGGGGACGCGCCCCGUGCCUUCCCUUCUCGGGCUGUUUUCUUCUCUCGUGUGGCCACUCAUCCUGGAACUGCUGUGGCCCAACUCCCUCCCUGAAGCCCUGGACCUGAAGGGAAGGGAUUCUGGAGCCCCUGCCACAGAGACUGCACUACUCAGAGUCAGUCCAAAAGACAGAGGGAAACCUCCAAAACUCCUUCCUCUUCAUUCUGAGGAGUCAGUCCCUUCUGUGCAUAUUGGUAGAGUCUAGACAGGAGUGCCUGAUGCAGCUUUGAAUUAUGCAAAUGAGAAAUCGCGCACAAGUCCCCAUAUAGAAAAUGUGAAAUAA
Non-coding RNA from Saimiri boliviensis boliviensis (Bolivian squirrel monkey), 3114 nucleotides. The record is from RefSeq and is a predicted model, not a curated record. NCBI's taxonomy places the organism in Eukaryota, Metazoa, Chordata, Mammalia, Primates, Cebidae.